RNAcentral lists this ribosomal RNA (253 nucleotides) under uncultured bacterium. RNAcentral's name for it is "partial 16S ribosomal RNA". It matches the Rfam family "Bacterial small subunit ribosomal RNA", at positions 524 to 776 of the family's 1533-position model. The record is from RNAcentral.
UACGUAGGGGGCGAGCGUUGUCCGGAAUCAUUGGGCGUAAAGCGCGUGUAGGCGGUCCUGUAAGUCCGCUGUGAAAGUCGGGGGCUCAACCCUCGGAUGCCGGUGGAUACUGUCGGGCUUGAGUACGGAAGAGGCGAGUGGAAUACCUGGUGUAGCGGUGAAAUGCGCAGAUAUCAGGAGGAACACCAAUUGCGAAGGCAGCUCGCUGGGACGUUACUGACGCUGAGACGCGAAAGCGUGGGGAGCAAACAGG